CCGCCCGCCGCGCCGCCGCCGCCACCCGCCGGUGCUCCAGGUACGCGAAGAGGCUCUGCGCCACCAGGUGCGCCGAGAGGAAGGCCCCGUACAGACCGAAGGCGAGGAGGCCGUAGCGAUCGGAGGCCAGCGGCACCCCGGCGGCGUAGGCCCAGGUCAUGAGGCCCAGGAUGAGCAGCGCGAACGUGACGGGACAUCUCCUGCACCGCUGGUGCUCCAGGCUCUUGGCUGGGUGAUGCCAGGCCCACAGAGAUGACUCAGACCUGGGCCCUGCCCUUGAGGAGAUGCCAAUCUUGGGGAGGAGACAGCUGUGUAAACAGAGGAUCAAAGACCAGUGCAUGGAUGCACCAACCCCGCUGGAGAGUCAGGGAGGGCUUCGUGGUGGAGGUGAUGUCCUGGAGGAGCAGAGUCUUGACUGAUGGGAAAUUAGCCAAGGUGUCCCACCUGCAGACCAGCAGAGCCCACGACCCCACUAUGUGCAUGGACGGGACUGGGCUGGCCAUGGAGCAAAUCUCCGGGCCCCGGCCUCCUCGUGUCUGGAGGAGAGUGAAGAUCCUGCCUACUCCAGGCUAUUUCGAGGUGCUCGGACAAGUUUAGGGAGCAGACGGCGUGCAGCAGAGAUGGUGCGUCGAGGAGAGUUGCCCCUGUGGGCUCCAGACGGAGGAAGUCAGAGGAGCAGAUGAUGAGUGAUGUUGAGCAUUUUUUCACGUGUCUGUUCAACCAUCUGGACGUCUUCUUUGGAGAAGUGUCUAUUCAGAGAACAUUUACUUUUAUUU
Long non-coding RNA from Neofelis nebulosa (Clouded leopard), 776 nucleotides. RefSeq lists it as uncharacterized. Lineage: Eukaryota; Metazoa; Chordata; Mammalia; Carnivora; Felidae. The record is from RefSeq and is a predicted model, not a curated record. The transcript has 4 exons.